AUAUCAAUAAGCGGAGGAAAAGAAACCAACAGGGAUUGCCUCAGUAUCGGCGAGCGAAGCGGCAAAAGCUCAAAUUUGAAAGCUAGCGUCUUUUAGGCGUUCGCGUUGUAAUUUGAAGAUGGCAACUUUGGAGUCGGCUCUUGCAUAAGUUCCUUGGAAUAGGACGUCAUAGAGGGUGAGAAUCCCGUUUAUGGUGGGAGUACCGUCUCUUUGUAAAGUGCUUUCUAAGAGUCGAGUUGUUUGGGAAUGCAGCUCUAAGUGGGUGGUAAAUUCCAUCUAAGGCUAAAUAUAGGCGAGAGACCGAUAGCGAACAAGUACAGUGAUGGAAAGAUGAAAAGAACUUUGAAAAGAGAGUGAAAAAGUACGUGAAAUUGUUGAAAGGGAAGGGCUUGAGAUCAGACUUGGCUUGUAGUGAUCAACUGUCUUUCGGGACUGUGCACUCGCUACUUGCUAGGCCAGCAUCAGUUCUGGCGGUGAGAUAAUGGUAGUGGAAUGUGACUCUGCUUCGGUAGAGUGUUAUAGCCACAUACAGAUGUCACCAGCCGGGACUGAGGACCGCGCUUCGUGCUAGGAUGCUGGCGUAAUG
This 586-nucleotide ribosomal RNA is filed under the name [Candida] sp. BG99-11-14-1-4-1. RNAcentral's name for it is "eukaryotic LSU rRNA". It matches the Rfam family "Eukaryotic large subunit ribosomal RNA", at positions 40 to 636 of the family's 3401-position model. Lineage: Eukaryota; Fungi; Ascomycota; Saccharomycetes; Saccharomycetales. The record is from RNAcentral.